GUAGCUCAGCUGGGUAGAGCACAAACCGUCCUCCAUCACCUCGUCGCCGUAAUCAAACAAGCUGGCGAAUGCCGGCGGGACUACAUCGGUAUAGGCGGUUCGACUCCGCCCCGGG
RNAcentral lists this transfer RNA (115 nucleotides) under Sphingomonas aerophila. Its description in RNAcentral is "tRNA-OTHER". The record is from RNAcentral. Lineage: Bacteria; Pseudomonadati; Pseudomonadota; Alphaproteobacteria; Sphingomonadales; Sphingomonadaceae.